UGGGGAAUAUUGGGCAAUGGGCGCAAGCCUGACCCAGCAACGCCGCGUGAAGGAAGAAGGUCUUCGGAUUGUAAACUUCUGUCAUUGGGGACGAAGGAAGUGACGGUACCCAAUGAGGAAGCUCCGGCUAACUACGUGCCAGCAGCCGCGGUAAUACGUAGGGAGCGAGCGUUGUCCGGAUUUACUGGGUGUAAAGGGUGCGUAGGCGGCUCUGCAAGUCAGGUGUGAAAACUAUCGGCUUAACUGAUAGACUGCAUUUGAAACUGUGGAGCUUGAGUGAAGUAGAGGCAGACGGAAUUCCCGGUGUAGCGGUGAAAUGCGUAGAGAUCGGGAGGAACACCAGUGGCGAAGGCGGUCUGCUGGGCUUUAACUGACGCUGAGGCACGAAAGCAUGGGUAGCAAACAGG
This 407-nucleotide ribosomal RNA is filed under the name uncultured prokaryote. RNAcentral's name for it is "bacterial SSU rRNA". It matches the Rfam family "Bacterial small subunit ribosomal RNA", at positions 355 to 776 of the family's 1533-position model. The record is from RNAcentral.